UGGCGCUUUGUCUCUUGUAAUUAUCUACAAGCCGAAGGAGCUUUUCAUAAAACAAACACGUCCAAGAAAUAAACUGUACCAGUGACAAACCCGCUUUUCACAUAGCAAACCAACUUCUUCCCUUUAACCUCACGCUUUCCACAUGAACAUCAAAAAAGGAGCCUCAGUUUCCAUGAAAGGAACUUGUGCUUGCAAAAACUGAUCUGGAUUUGUUUGAUCCAAAGUUGUCUACAGUGGUUUGUCAUGUAAACGAUAAGUAUACCCACUUAGGAAAGUGUCUUGCAGUGCAAGACCUCUUCUACUUUUAGCAAUUGUAGCUUUUUAUCAAGACAGGCACUUUGAAAGCAUCUGGGUUUCUGUGCAGCCACUUGAUAUGAUAAUGCAGUCCUUUUCAUGCUCAAGUAUUUGUUAUUUAUGAGAGUUUGAUCUGGGUUUUUUUCCCAUGUGUUGUGUUGAACAAGGUGGUGUAGAAGAGGGGUUUAAAGGUUAGAUUUUUUUUUUUUUUUGCUUGAUGAUAUGAAUGUGAAGGGUGGUUCAGAUGUGGUGGUUGGAAAAUUGGUUGUUGUUGCGGUCAAGGCAUCGAAAGAGAUACCAAGAAGGGCUUUGGUCUGGGCUUUGACUCAUGUUGUUCAACCUGGGGAUUGCAUUAAGCUACUGGUGGUCAUCCCUGCUCACUCCUCAAGUAAAAAAUUGUGGGGUUUCUCAAGAUUCACCAGUGACUGUACUAAUGGUAACCGAAAGUCACUAUCAGGAACCAGAUUAGAUCAGAGAGAUGAUAUCUCAGAUUCGUGCUCCGAAAUGUUGCGUCAAAUUCAUGAUGUUUAUGACCCUCAAAAGAUAAAAAUCAGGGUCAAGGUCGUUUCUGGUUCACCAUAUGGAGUGGUAGCUGCUGAAGCCAAGAAAGCUUAUUCAAACUGGGUUAUAUUGGACAAACAUCUGAAACAUGAGAGGAAAUACUGCAUGGAAGAGUUACAAUGUAAUGUUGUGGUUAUGAAACGGAAUGAGCCAAAAGUACUUCGUUUGAAUUUGAUUGGAUCACCAAUGAUGCAACCUGAAGUAUCUUGGCCAUUGUCAUUUGAUGUAGAAGCAUUUUCAAAGGAUUUCGAGAGAAAGCAUCACCAGCUAGAUCUAUUAAAAGGUCCGUAUGUAACUCCAGCAAGUAGUCCAGAUCAUGAAUCAUCACUUACUGCAACAGAUGUUGGAACUUCCUCAAUAUCAAGCUCCGAUCCUGGGACUUCGCCAUUUUUUCUCUCUGGACUUUAUGGCAACCAGAAGAAAGAGCAUUUAUUAUUUGCAGAUGAAAAUCAAAGUCUAUAUGAAUCUGAUUCUGACACCGAUAGUGACAAACAGACUCCUUCUGUAAGAUUAUAUUUCCAGCCAUGGAUGGAUGAUAAUCUGAGUUCCAGUGAUGAACUUGCAAAACCUUUUGUGAAUAGUUUCCAAAAAACCAAGAAUGCUGCUCUGACAUCCACAUACAAAAGCUUGCUGGAAAAUUUGUCCAAAUUAGACAGAGAACCUGAUAUUGGAGUCCUGAACUAUAGACUAGAUGUAAACUUAAGCAAAAGUGUACGGGAAGCAAUUUCCUUGUCUUCACAUGUGCCUCCUGGUCCUCCUCCAUUAUGUUCAGUAUGUAGACACAAAGCUCCUGUAUUUGGAAAUCCUCCUAAAUGGUUUACUUAUGCGGAACUGGAAUUGGCUACAGAUGGAUUUUCAAAAGAAAAUUUCUUGGCUGAAGGUGGAUUUGGUUCUGUUCACCGAGGUGUUUUACCCGAUGGCCAGGUGGUUGCUGUCAAGCAACAUAAAUUGGCUAGUUCACAAGGUGAUCUAGAGUUUUGCUCAGAAGUUGAGGUUUUGAGCUGUGCACAGCAUUGUAAUGUUGUGAUGUUGAUUGGAUUCUGCGUGGAGGAUGGAAGAAGAUUGCUGGUUUAUGAAUAUAUUUGCAAUGGAUCUUUAGAUUCACAUCUUUUUGGACGUAAUCAAGAUUCAUUGUCAUGGUAUGCAAGACAAAAAAUUGCCGUUGGAGCAGCUAGAGGUUUGAGAUACCUUCACGAAGAAUGUAGAGUGGGCUGCAUCGUACAUCGUGACAUGAGGCCUAACAAUAUCCUCAUCACUCAUGAUUUUGAACCGUUGGUUGGAGACUUUGGACUCGCGAGAUGGCAGCCAAAGGGAGACAUGGGAGUGGAAACAAGAAUAAUUGGAACAUUUGGGUAUGCUUAUUGGAAGGUAUUUAGCUCCAGAAUAUGCUCAAAGUGGCCAAAUCACAGAAAAAGCUGAUGUCUAUUCUUUUGGAGUAGUAUUGGUGGAGCUAGUUACAGGACGGAAAGCUAUCGAUAUAAAACGACCUAAAGGCCAGCAGUGCCUAACAGAAUGGGCACGCCCACUGUUAGAAAAGCAAGCCAUUAACGAAUUGGUUGACCCGCGCUUAAUGAAUUGCUAUUCAGAAAAAGAGGUGCAUAACAUGCUGCAAUGUGCUGCAUUGUGCAUUUGCCGCGAUCCUCAUUCAAGGCCUCGGAUGUCUCAGGUACUUCGGAUGUUGGAAGGUGACAUAGUCAUGAAUUCAAGCAAUCACGUAUGAACUUAUGGAUGUAGCAACAAAAGCAGUUGCGGAAAGAACAAUAGCAACUGACAAAAAGGCCUUGUAGACGGGUUGCAGAGCUUAAUUUGGGUGAAAGCAAAGCAGAGUUUUGAUUAUGAGCUUCUUUAAAUUACUUUUUAAGUGGUAAUCAACAUUUUGUUAGCUCGUGAAUUAUAGAUUCUUGGAUGUAUAGUUGUAAUUAUGGAUGUGAAGGUUGUUAGCCAUGUAUUAUUUCCUCCUUGAUUCUAGAUUUAAUUUAUUAUUCUCUCUCAAA
RNA transcript from Jatropha curcas, 2849 nucleotides. It is a transcript of the gene named Protein kinase superfamily protein, with no coding region annotated. Lineage: Eukaryota; Viridiplantae; Streptophyta; Magnoliopsida; Malpighiales; Euphorbiaceae. The record is from RefSeq and is a predicted model, not a curated record.